Lycium ferocissimum is the source of this 4226-nucleotide long non-coding RNA. RefSeq lists it as uncharacterized. The transcript has 2 exons. The record is from RefSeq and is a predicted model, not a curated record. NCBI's taxonomy places the organism in Eukaryota, Viridiplantae, Streptophyta, Magnoliopsida, Solanales, Solanaceae.
CCCUCUCCUAUCACCGCCGGUUCCAUCGACGGACCAGUGUACAAAAGCCAUCCUGGACGCCACCGCCAUCACGUCCCUUCAAUCCCCUCUCCCUCUCUAUGAUACUAUGGAGCCAUUAAUGCUCUGCAAACUAGCCUGUUCAACCUCCAAACAGGGAAAACGUGAGAAUCUUGCGAAUACAAGGACGAUUAAAUGGAUAAAAAAAACCUCACCCCUACCUUCAGAGCUCGGUUUGCUGAAAAAUCUUUCUUAUUUUCGGUUUCAACGGUCUCAACCUUUCAAAUCAUCUCUGAAAAAGUUCUCGGUUGAGCAAGGACCACUUCAAGCGGAUUCGGAGACUCGACAACUAUAAUAGCCUCAGUUCGCUGUCCCGGAAAAGGUUAGUGGUCGCCCUUGCUUUACUUUUGUUUUCAGUGGUUAGGAGUAUAUAUCGAUGUAGUUGUUAAAUAAUUCUUCACAGUUUUGCCUAUUUGAGCUUGGUUUGUUGCUGUGUGUCUGAAUCCGCAUAUAAAAAAUAGCUAAGAAUACUUUAGGGAACUAUUGAUUAAUUGGCAGAAUAUGUGGACGACCAGGUUGCUUGUUUGGAUUUUUUAUCUUUAAUACUGGUACAAAGGUUGAUUUUACAUAACCCUUAGAACAUCGAAUAUGUUCAUGUCAUGCGUUUAGGGCUGUUCUCUGACCUGUUUCUUGUUGAGUUUGAGGCCUAAGUGAAUGUGGAAAUUCCUCCUUAAAUCAAUAACUGUUGGAAUUCGAAUGUAAUUGGCCGCACUUUUUCGCUUGUUAUAAGAUUUCGUUUCUUUAGUAAGCCACCCUCGCCUUUUCUUUCGUUUUAAAAGUCACAGAGUUAAAUGUAGUUGUUCGAUGGUUCUUGUUGCUUGUUCCCCUUGAAUCUUUUGCUGCUGUGUUUUGUCCUAAGUCCUUGUAAAAAAUCAUUAACAGGGAUUAAUAGCAGUUAGGAGUAAUAACGACUUAAUUUGUCGACUAUGUGAAUAAUUGCAUCGCAACUAAAUUUCUGUUCGGUACGCUCAUCACAAUCAGUGUGUUUACCAUUCCAUUCUGAAAAGCAGCAUGUAAAGGGCUAAUACAAACUAAGGGCGUUUAGGAAGGAAACCACUGACUUAUAUAAAUUUGCUUUAGUUGAAACUUGCGGUUGUUGAAGUAACUUUAUCGCUUGUGUAUAUCUUCUUUCUUUAAAUACUCUUAAAGACUGUUUUGCCAUGACUCCGUGUAGAAACCAAAUAUGUGAAUAUAUGAUGAUAUCAUAUAGCUAAAAAUAAAAAGAAAAAAAAACGUUAUCAUUUUGAUUAAAGAAAAAAAAACUGCUAUUUUGAUUAAAAGAAAAAAGGUUACUAUUUUGAUUAGAAAAAAGAGUUACUAUUUUGAGUAGAGAAAAGUUACUGUUUUGAUUAAAGAAAAGGUUACUGUUUUGACUAAAGAAAAGUAACUUUUUUAUUAGAGAGAAAAAGAAAAAAAAACCGGGGGUUACUAUUUUGAUUAGACCAAAAAAAAAAAAAAAGUUACUUGUCUUGAUUAAAGGAAAAGUUACCGAUUCGUGAAAAUUAAAUUCGUCAAAUAUGUGUUUAGCUUAGUCGCUUGGCUAAUUUUCUGUUUUAGUUAUUUGUUAAGAUCUGGGAUGUUCCUACGUUUAGCGUAAAUCACUACGACUGAUUGAAGCUAUGAAUUUAAGAAUAAGAGGAAAUCCACCGAUUUGUGAGAAUAUGAUGGGAGCUUAUAUGUAUAUUUAGUAUUUGUUUGUUUUCUCGUAUGUGCGAAUAAAUGUCUAAAGAGUCCUGCUUCUUUUCUCCAAGUAUUUAUUAUGUGUCAUGUUAAAGUGACGGGGAAAAUAUGUUUGAAUGUACUGUGAACUGGAAUGCGCGUAUAUUUAGAACUUUCUUCUCUCGUGAUGCUAGUUGAUAGAGUUUAGACCACUGUUAAACUUAUUAAGAUGCUAUGUCACUGUCCUUAAAUAUAAAACUGGUUGAAAUGUUCCUUUUAUGGGGGCUGUUGUUUGUCGCGAUUACGUGCUCGAGAUUUUAUUUCGGAUCCUGAGUAUUUAGGCCUCAGAGAUUGGGAAAUGACGUUAUCUUGUUCUACUAGAAAUUCUGCUUCCAUUCUACUAGAAAAAAAAAAUAUACUUAGUUUAAUGCUGAAUCCAUGAAACUACUGAAGACAUGUUCAUUGUUAUUAGUGGUUUUUCUCACUUCAUCUUGACAGAAGGUUUAAAUCAACUAAGUAGCUAUGUUUUUUUUCUAUAAGAAUUCAUGUUAGGUGAUUAAGUAAACCUAUUAAGUUUGUUGUAAAUAUGGAAGCUUUCUCAUUGUUUAAGAAUUACGGCUACGACAUUUUGAAAUGUUUGAGUAAACUUAAGUCAUCUCUAUAAAUACAGAUUCAGUUGUUUUGUUCAUCUUAUACCAUGUUACACUGUUGCAAAACGUAGAAUUUAAGUUUUAACAUUUUAUAUGAAAUUUAAACCGGUUCUGCUUGUUACAUUUGUUUUAAAAUCCUCUCUGCCGGAAUAUACCAUGGUAUGAUUAGGAGUUCACUUGGGGAAUCCCAAAAUCUACAAAGAAACACGUUGAGGCUAAGUUCAUUUGUGGUCUUUUCAACAUGGUUGUAACUAGCUAAGUUAUCAUGCUAUAAAUCUUAAAAGUGCUCUUAACUUAAUUUACCUAUAGAAGAAGAUAGCAAAGGACUGGCAUGUUUAGUAACAUGGGAUCAGAUAAAGAAGCAGUAGGUAGUUAGCUGAACCUUAUUUCAUCUUGUGUCAAAUGUGCCUUUAGUUUCAAUUACCAAUUUCAAAUAAAAAAAAAAUGUGUCCUUUUAGUUUGACUAUUUGCUGGAGUAAUUUUCCUUGAGCUUAACUAGACUUUUUAAUGUACAGGGUGUUGCUAGGUAAGAACCUAAAUUAUUUGUUUGCUCUUCAUUUUUUUUUUUUUUUUUUAGAAAUAAUCAUGGAAAAGAAAACAUAAGUAUCAGUUUGCCUUGUGACUAAGUUCACAGAAACUUGCGCUUAAUUAGUUAUUGUUGUAUUCUUUCAAGUUUGGAAACAAAUAUGGAUCUUUGGAUGCAAAGCAUGAAUAAUCUUCUCUUAGCUUUGCAUUACUUGGAAUAAAAAAUAAUAAUAAAAAAAAAAUGUAAACAUUCUGUCGGGUUUGGGAUUGAGACUGUUUUAGAAAUCAUGCCUAUAGGGGCUGCAUCUUCCAUUUAAAAUAGUUGUUUUGAAUGUGUUGUUAUCCAAACUAGCGAAUAAGGCGUCUGAUUUGUUGAAGGGGUGUUUGAUCUCUCAUUUCACUUGGUUAUAUCUUUGGAAUUAAGCAAAUAGGUGGGUGUGUAAGCUAAUAAGAACCCGCUAUUUGAGGAACACUUGUUUCCUCUAUAUGUUGCAUAAGACUUUGUUUGUUUGAGUAUUGUUGUGAUUUGAGUAUGAAAAGAUAAUGAAAUAUUUGUAGAACCCCGUCCUGUUAUUGCUAUCAGUGUCUAGUAGUAUGGUUACAUACAUGUUAAUAAUUUGUGGUAGAUAAUUUUUUUAAAAGAAUGAAGAAACCACAACCCCAAAGGUUUUAGGAGUGAGUUGAGACUGCUGAAUAGUUCAAUGGCUGCAACAUCAUGAAGUGCAUUGCAUUUGUUUGGCUAUGUUCUUCUUUCUUGACUUGUUCUCUCUGAGUCUAGUGAAACCUGUUCUGAUAUAUGUUUGCUAUGGGAGAACUUUGAUGAUAAUCUACAAUGAAACCAGUUUGGUUUUCUUUUCUGAUAGUUAAGCCUACCAAAAUAUUAAGAAUUUGCUUGAUAUGCUAGUCUAUAUAAGUGGUGAGUGUAAACAAUUUCACCAUGCUUUCCUUAAUAAUCAUGGGUUCUCUUGGCCAAUUUCUUGAACUUUUUUUUUGCUAGUUCUGUGUGUUUACUAGACAACUCUAAUCCUUAUCCUUUUUUUUUUUUUCAUGAGGAACCUUGAGAGCAUUUGGAGUUAUGGUAACUCCGGACUCUACCCAGAUCAGAGAAGAAACCAGUAGCAGCCUCUUUUGCUCGUGUUUAGCGUCCCUCGUUCGUGUCAAGCGUCCCUGUCAUCCUCCUUCUCUUCAAACUUUAUGUCUUUGCGUUAGCAUAAAUAUACAUGUUUAUAUUUUUGACUAACACUUUGUAUGGAUUGUAUUUGUAGCGUAUUUGUUUAUUGCUUGUGAACGAACCGGUGGAAAAAUGGCUGAGCAGAACAACGAAUUUAGUCCUUA